This 458-nucleotide ribosomal RNA is filed under the name uncultured bacterium. RNAcentral describes it as "bacterial SSU rRNA". It matches the Rfam family "Bacterial small subunit ribosomal RNA", at positions 27 to 508 of the family's 1533-position model. The record is from RNAcentral.
GCAUGAACGCUGGCGGUAUGCUUAACACAUGCAAGUCGAACGAAAUACGAUGGGGUUUACUCUAUCGUAUGGCAGUGGCGGACGGGUGCGUAACGCGUAAGAACUUACCUUUUGGCGAGGGACAACCGCGGGAAACUGCGGCUAAUACCUCAUAGAGCUGAGGAGCGAAAGGUGAAAACCACCAAAAGAGAGGCUUGCGUCUGAUUAGCUAGUUGGUGAGGGUAAUGUCCUCCCAAGGCGACGAUCAGUAGCUGGUCUGAGAGGAUGAUCAGCCACACUGGAACUGAGACACGGUCCAGACUCCUACGGGAGGCAGCAGUGAGGAAUUUUCCGCAAUGGGCGAAAGCCUGACGGAGCAAUACCGCGUGGAGGAGGAGGGCCCGUGGGUCGUAAACUCCUUUUCUCAGAGAAGAACACAAUGACGGUAUCUGAGGAAUAAGCAUCGGCUAACUCCGUGC